UAUGCUUAAGCUACCCAUUUCGUUUGUCUUCGGCAAUUCACUGAUAUGCUUAACACUCUCGUUUCUAUUCGCUUAAUUAGCUAUAAUAGUGACUGCUCAAAGAUAUCAUCACGAGAAGAUUUUAAUUGAACGAUCUUCUCGUUCACUUCUCAGCUUCGCAACACACCUGCAACUAUGAAGCUUGGCUAAGUAGCAUCGCGAACACAAAUGCUUCCGCAAAGCGACGAGUCUUCGCUCUAGACAAAAAGCGGCCGUUUUUGUCAUAGUUGUCAUAUUUGUAGGCUUCUUUCCUCGUUUCAUCUAGUGAUUUCACUUAGUUCCAUACUGUUGUUUGGGCUAAUUCAAUUCCGUCCUGCUAUAUGAACACGCCGGCCAAUUCAACUGUUGCAGGACUCGAGCACACUUUAGCACCUCAGCCACUUGAUAGCUUGAAAAGCUUCAAUGAAAGGCAUCUUCCUUAUGAUGUGGGAGGAGUUAAUAAGAUCGCUUUCAUACUUGUGGUCGCAAGUGGAUGAUGAGGAGCCACUUACGAAUUUCCGGCAGGUACAGGAUGGACGAAAUGCAAACAAUUGAGCCCCCUUCUUUAAACAAGCAAUGCUCAAGUUCAUUCGCCGGCCAUCUAACUCUAUCUAUCGAAACUACCGCUGAGCUAUCUUUACUAUAAUAAAUAUCAUUCGCUGGAAUCAUAAACUAUUUUAGUGGUAGGUAUCUCUUACAGUACAAAAAUGAUGAAUCGACAUUAAAACAAACCCUAAUAGGCACAUAGAUUUAUCUCAUUUAUAUAUUCCAAAGCUUUUAACUAGACCAGCACUACACGCCGUUAGUCGUGUCAUUACUAAGUAAUCCACCAAAUAACACAAACCAUGAAAAGUAAAUGUGUCACUAAUGAAGAAAUUCAACGUUGGAUCAAUUUAACUUUUAUCCAGUCGAGCUCACAGUUCGCGCGCGUUUAGUCAUCGCGUUGCUAUCGUAACGCCAGAGGCAGCGACCCCCAACGCC
Long non-coding RNA from Varroa destructor (honeybee mite), 999 nucleotides. RefSeq lists it as uncharacterized. The record is from RefSeq and is a predicted model, not a curated record. NCBI's taxonomy places the organism in Eukaryota, Metazoa, Arthropoda, Arachnida, Mesostigmata, Varroidae.